AUUGCCCUAGUAACGGCGAGUGAAGCGGCAACAGCUCAAAUUUGAAAUCUGGCCCCCGGGUCCGAGUUGUAAUUUGUAGAGGAUGCUUUUGGUGCGGUACCUUCCGAGUUCCCUGGAACGGGACGCCAUAGAGGGUGAGAGCCCCGUCUGGUUGGACGCCAAUCCUUUGUAAAGCUCCUUCAACGAGUCGAGUAGUUUGGGAAUGCUGCUCUAAAUGGGAGGUAUAUGUCUUCUAAAGCUAAAUAUUGGCCAGAGACCGAUAGCGCACAAGUAGAGUGAUCGAAAGAUGAAAAGCACUUUGAAAAGAGAGUUAAAAAGUACGUGAAAUUGUUGAAAGGGAAGCGCUCAUGACCAGACUUGGGCUCGGUUGAUCAUCCAGGGUUCUCCCUGGUGCACUCUCCCGGCCCAGGCCAGCAUCAGUUCGCCGCGGGGGACAAAGGCGUCGGGAAUGUGGCUCCCUCGGGAGUGUUAUAGCCCGUCGUGCAAUACCCUGUGGUGGACUGAGGUUCGCGCAUUCGCAAGGAUGCUGGCGUAAUGGUCAUCAGCGACCCGUCUUGAAACACGGACCAAGGAGUCGUCUUCGUAUGCGAGUGUUCGGGUGUCAAACCCCUACGCGUAAUGAAAGUGAACGCAGGUGAGAGCUUCGGCGCAUCAUCGACCGAUCCUGAUGUUCUCGGAUGGAUUUGAGUAAGAGCAUACGGGGCCGGACCCGAAAGAAGGUGAACUAUGCCUGUAUAGGGUGAAGCCAGAGGAAACUCUGGUGGAGGCUCGCAGCGGUUCUGACGUGCAAAUCGAUCGUCAAAUAUGGGCA
RNAcentral lists this ribosomal RNA (811 nucleotides) under Neonectria neomacrospora. RNAcentral describes it as "partial large subunit ribosomal RNA". It matches the Rfam family "Eukaryotic large subunit ribosomal RNA", at positions 74 to 917 of the family's 3401-position model. Lineage: Eukaryota; Fungi; Ascomycota; Sordariomycetes; Hypocreales; Nectriaceae. The record is from RNAcentral.